AAUAUAUUUUUGAGCCUUAUUUCCUGUUGUUUUCGCAAUUUUAUCAGCUAACCUAGGGUUAUCGUUUAGAAGAUAUAUUGAAGCAAGAUUUUCAAUGCAGUCAAAUCUUACUCGAACCACUGACUUGGACAGAAGGCUGGACUUUAAAUCAUCAAUAAUGAAGUUUACCCUUUGCCUGCUCGCGGUACUGAGUGUGACGACUCUGGUAAACGCCGGCCCUUUGUUUACAAGUGAUCCUGUAGAUGGCGACGGUUUCGUCUACUGCCAGAAAACAUACAAAAACGUUUUCUUAUUACUAUGUCCAGAAAUGGCACGAGACAUAGAUGUAGGAUUCAAGGUCUACGAGUUUGCCAAAAUCUGCUGUUCCCGAAUAUGUAACAUUGAUGACGUAUUGCGCCACUGUGUAGUAUCGGCCUAAAUUGAAAAAUGAAUUAUAAAAGUAAAAGCGUUGUAUAUUCCUUUGUACAGCCUACCACUCUCAAUCAAAAAUCGUAGUUGCUUUUAUAUCUUAGUAAAUAUUUAAUGUUUUGUUAAAAUAAAAAAAUACCUAUCCAAUACUUUGACCCAAUAAUUAAAAUUAUUGUUUUUUACCCUGACAUCACGCCUACUGCACAACGAACGUAGCUGUGGAGCCCUUCAUAUAACUUCGAUUCAAAUUGUGAUGGAUUGGAUGAAUGACUAAGUAAUUAAUUGUCAAUAAACAAACUGUUUGCUUGAAAAUUCGUACACAUCCUACGUUGUUUAGAAAAUACAGUAGUCACGAAAAUGAUGCUCAUUUGUCAGUUAUAUUCUCUACUAUGAACACAUAUUUGCCGGUUAGGAAGAUCAUAAAAGUUGUAUCCACGCAUAGAACUCCCAAAAGAGAGCGACUGUCUUCGCUCCAUGAGUGCUUAGAAGCCAACGAGAGUCGCAGAAGGCGCGGCAGAUGGCGCUGGGCUCUCAUACUCUUCGUCUGCUUAACCCUGGUCUGCCUGCUUUCCCACAGGAGCCAGUCACCCUCUAUGAACGGACAAAUUGUCGUCAAUAAGAUAUACUACGAUGUUCCCGUUACUUUCACCAAGAAAUAUGAGACUGCGGUGUCACACAGUACUAAAAAGCCUGAAACAAUUGAAACUGUUGAAGAUGACGAUUUUGUCGAUACAGAAAUGGACGUCCGUACGAAGGCUCCCGGUUUGCCGUUCUGUGUCCGGAAGAAACCUUAUCCGAAAAUUCCGUUAAACCUGACGUGUAUAAACAUCACUGCUGAGGAUAUUUACCCGAAGCUGAAGAAAGGAGGCGUGUACAAGCCCCUAGUGUCAGCCAAGGAUGAAGAUCGGCAUCAUCGUGCCUUACAGGAAUCGUCUACAUAACCUUGGUAUAUUUUUGAACAACAUACAUCCAUUUCUGAUGGCGCAGAAACUUGAAUAUCAGAUAUUUGUCAUUGAACAGUAUGGCACCGAACUAUUUAACAAGGGCCGCGUGUACAACGCCGGCUUUCAGGAGAUGAUGAAGUUCAACACUUUCAACUGCGUUAUAUUUCACGAUUUGGAUCUGUUACCAAUGGAUGAGAACAUCUUGUAC
Helicoverpa armigera (cotton bollworm) is the source of this 1560-nucleotide RNA transcript. It is a transcript of the gene named beta-1,4-N-acetylgalactosaminyltransferase bre-4, with no coding region annotated. NCBI's taxonomy places the organism in Eukaryota, Metazoa, Arthropoda, Insecta, Lepidoptera, Noctuidae. The transcript has 9 exons. The record is from RefSeq and is a predicted model, not a curated record.